AGACUCCGUCUAUAAAAUGAAGAUUGUACUCCUUUUUCCUUGGAACCAUAGAAAAGAAUGAGUGUUCUUGGACUAGAGAUUGGAAAUUUAAAUCAUUGUCAACUGGGACUAGUUUCAGAGCACGGAAUGAUGUGUGAGACUCGUCUUUUGUGAAAACCUGAAGCCUUUUGCUUGCAUCCCUCUCCUCUGAGUACAGCUUUUUUACCCACAGUAGCAGUGAAUAAUGUCAACUGCCCAGGUAGAUGUGAGAGCAGUCAGAAAGGCUAUCAGCUCAUAAGGGGAACCUCCUGAGCCUUGUGACUGGAACAACCCAAGAUUACAAUUGUGACAUAGACAUCCUCCAUCAAUUGCCUCCCUUAGGAACAAGGCAUAUUAUCAUUAUGUCUAGGAGCUUUUUCUUCAGUGGAUGCUACCUCUCUUAUGAAUUCUGAUAAGGAUUAACAACCAUGCUGACCGUGCACUUGACAGAUUAUACUUACCUGAAAUCCUGCUCACAGCUUUGCAAGCAGUCGUCAUGAAGCAAAUUGUUGGUAAAUUAAUAAAUCCUUUGAGGAUGGGAAGGGGGGAAGGAGAUUCGCCACAGUAGAAAUGCCCUCCUAAAGCUCCCUUCCCACCUGCGCUCUUCCCUUCCAAUCUCAAAGCCACCAGCAUCUGCCACUUGCUGCAAGAAAAUGAACCAAGGAGACACAACUAAGGGAAGAAGUAAAGCCUGAUAUCUUUGCGGCUGUGUUGGCAGAGUCGAGCCAAGGCUAAGGAUUGCUCUGCCAAGUGACCUGGCUUCUUGAACUUAAUUUUCCAUUCUGUUGGCACCUUCUAGGUCUUCUUCCUCAGACUAGGCCAAGUGAAAAGUUAGAGAUCAUUAAGCAGAGAGAGUGACAUCUUCUCAGGAGAAUAUUAACCCAUGGAGACCUAAGUGGAUUUCUUCUAGCUUUUUGUACCUUUGGAAUUUUCUGAUACAUUGGUUGGGCCAUGGGAUGUUUUCAAUAGUUUUAGCUUCUCGGCAUAGCACUUCUAACAAUUCUGAAAAAUGUGAAACCAUAUACGGAAAGCUGAGACUCCUCUGAGGCCAGUGGCAAAGACUAACGCACU
This is a long non-coding RNA of Mus musculus (house mouse), 1089 nucleotides long. RefSeq annotates it as predicted gene, 35928. The transcript is spliced from 3 exons. The record is from RefSeq and is a predicted model, not a curated record. Lineage: Eukaryota; Metazoa; Chordata; Mammalia; Rodentia; Muridae.